Molecule: long non-coding RNA, 581 nt
Organism: Bos taurus (domestic cattle)
Lineage: Eukaryota; Metazoa; Chordata; Mammalia; Artiodactyla; Bovidae
Source: Ensembl
GGCAACCAGGACCCUGAUUAAAUAUCUCCUGAGGGCCCUGGAGAGCCUGUGAAACGAUCUCCCAGACCCAGAAGGAGAUCCUGGCACCAACAGGACCUGAGCUGAAAAAUCAAAAGGUGCGGAAUAUAAUCCAAUAACAGAUCCAGCUUAGAAAUCUCAACAGGUAAUGAGACUCACAUCAACAAGAGCUGAAUUCUAUCCCAAAAGAAUGCUGUGUGCAUAAUGUAUGAAGUUUUCAGAAAAACAGUCUUGAACAGACAAUUCGUCUGACCUUGGAUAAACCAGCGAUGAAAGCUGCCCAUGGAAGUACUUGAUCCAUUCUGCUCCUUAAGCUGAAAAUCCUACUUGGUCCAGGGACUCACUCCCCUGUGCUUCAGGGACUGAUGGAGCUAAAACCGCCACCCUUUCCUGGCACUCAAUCACAGGGGAUCUUCCUGAAUCAGGGAUCAAACCCGUGUCUCCUGCAUUGCAGGCAGAUUCUUUACCACUGAGCCACUGGAAAAGCCCCACCCCUUCCACAGGAACCAAGGCGCUUGCUUUCAUUCUACAACAGCCCUCCUGCAAGCUUAACGUAACUUCAA